Gossypium raimondii (Peruvian cotton) is the source of this 331-nucleotide long non-coding RNA. RefSeq lists it as uncharacterized. The transcript is spliced from 2 exons. The record is from RefSeq and is a predicted model, not a curated record. NCBI's taxonomy places the organism in Eukaryota, Viridiplantae, Streptophyta, Magnoliopsida, Malvales, Malvaceae.
AAAAGAAAGAGAAAGAGAAGAAGAAAAAGAAAGUCAUGAAAAAUUCCCAAGUUUCUGCUCUAGUUUUCAUGUUGGUUCUUCUUUUCUCUGCAGGAAAAGAGGUGGUAGCGACGGAAACUGGACACACCUGCACUGAAGAAAUAAAAUUGCCAAGUUGGAAAAUACCAGAUUGCUCGAGUUUAUGUAAGACACGCCAUGGAGAUGAAGCCACCGGAGUUUAUUUUAGGGGCGGUUGCUUAUGCUCCUACCCUUGCCUUUCUUCUUUUAUUUAUUAAUGUUUGAUGUGCCAAAAUCCCACCAAUAAAACUCACAUCUCUUCUAUUGCUCUUAA